Molecule: ribosomal RNA, 462 nt
Filed under: uncultured bacterium
Lineage: Bacteria
Description: partial 16S ribosomal RNA
Rfam family: Bacterial small subunit ribosomal RNA
Source: RNAcentral
GACGAACGCUGGCGGCGUGCUUAACACAUGCAAGUCGAACGGAAAGACCCUUCGGGGUACUCGAGUGGCGAACGGGUGAGUAACACGUGGGUGAUCUGCCCUGCACUUUGGGAUAAGCCUGGGAAACUGGGUCUAAUACCGAAUAUGAUCAUCGGCUUCAUGGUCGGUGGUGGAAAGCUUUUGCGGUGUGGGAUGGGCCCGCGGCCUAUCAGCUUGUUGGUGGGGUAAUGGCCUACCAAGGCGACGACGGGUAGCCGGCCUGAGAGGGUGACCGGCCACACUGGGACUGAGAUACGGCCCAGACUCCUACGGGAGGCAGCAGUGGGGAAUAUUGCACAAUGGGCGCAAGCCUGAUGCAGCGACGCCGCGUGAGGGAUGACGGCCUUCGGGUUGUAAACCUCUUUCAGCACAGACGAAGCGCAAGUGACGGUAUGUGCAGAAGAAGGACCGGCCAACUACGUG